AACCUCAAAACGAUUAAGACAACGCGGCUCGGGACACUAGAAUCAAUACAAUUGAGACAUCACUGCUGCAAAUUAAACUCUUUAAAAUUUAAAUAACGUUUCUGACACUUCUAAUUUUUAAGACAUGAAAAAACACAAAUGGAGACACAAUAUAAUCGGUUAUAAUCGGUAUAAACGGAUCGAAACAGCAGUUUUAAAGUUAUAACCAUUCUGGUCUGGACAUUAUAAAAUCCACACGAAAUGACGCGAAUUUACGUAUGAAAUAACAACGGCAGCGACAGUAAAAACGGAAGUUAAUUCAAAUGUUCAAAGAUGUCAAGAGGAAGAGAGAAAUAGGCAGGACCUUUGGAUCCCGGAUAUGAACCGUUGAUCCACGGAUCAAUCAUUUGGCGGCUGGAUUCCUAAACCUUCAAGUCCACAUGUUAAAAUGUCGUUGAGCAAAACAUUUAAACUCGGGUGAUAAUGGUUUUAAAGGUUGGUAAUGCUGCUGGGUGUCAAACCUAAAAUCUCUUAGGACCGAGAAGAGACAACGCUUUGCGGGACAAAUUCAUCUCUCUAAGGACGAAGACAACGCUUCUGUGGACAAAUGAAAUCUUUCAAGUAGUGAGGAAUUUUAAUCUUUUAGGACUAAUAUGAUGUCAUGGUGGACAAAUUAAAAUGUAGAGGAAUUAAAACAACACGCGGAGUACAAAUUAAAAUCUUUAAGGAUAAAAGAAAAGACAGAGAUAAAUAUUUGGUUAAGGCUUGGUCCAGUGACUUGGACCACCAUAGACAUAUUCUGAGGACCACCAGGAGCUGCAGUCACCUUUCAGGUUAAGGCAAAAGUAAGUAUCAGUCCCAGACAGAGCAGCUGGCAGUGAGACUGCUUCUUCCAAGAUUCUCUCUGUGCUUCUGUCUCUGUUUUCCUCUCUACUCUCCCAUGUUUCAGGGUGUAGUAGCGGUGCUUCCCCACACGGUGCUCUCUAAUAUAGUUAAUUGUUCUCACCUGUUCCUCCACUAAUCCACUCUCCCAGUUCUACUCUUUCAGGUUUUAGCUGCUCAUCGCUGGAUUCUUUCAUCGUUGUCCAUGUGGUUCCUGCUUGUAAGUUUUUGCAUUCAACAACACAUAAUAUUGCUGGCCUCCUGCUGGCAUUGGUGACCAUCAGCUUUAAUAAAUAAAUAUAGAAAGAAAUUCACUAUUAGUAGAAAGUGUUCCUCCAUAUAGAGUUAAAUUUACAUUAAGUGUGGAAAGUUUGCCUGAUAAUAUUUUGUAUUAGAGACCAAAUGAAAGCAGCAAGUCAAUAAAAAUUUGGAAGACAGAAUUUAUGAUUGAGGGAUUUAAUUAAGAGCUUUUAUCCAGAGGGAAAGUAGAGAACAGGAUCGGAGGGAAGGAAAUAGAGAGGAUGUGGAGUAAAGAUAAACUAUUAAUCUCAUAAAACAAAUAGUUUAUGUGGCCUUAUUCAUGUGUUACAACACAGAAAGAUCCCAAAAAGAGAAUAGACUUUAAAAAAUACUGACACUAGUUUCUGAUCCCAGGUCCAGACUGCUCAGAUCUCUGAUGUUCUGAUCAUCCCAGGUUGGAUCUCCUGAGCCUGGAAUCCUCCACCUUCAACACCACCAGUCAGGUGGAGGAAGAUAAGAGAACCCAGUUGGUCAAAAAAAUUGACCAACAAUUAAAGCAGAAGACCUGCUCCACCUGCUGUUCUACUGGUUGGAAGAGAUUGUGGAAAAGCAUCAGCGAGACAAGACAAGACUGGACCAAUGAGGAGAGAGAAGACACAGAGGACUGAGGAGACGCAGAAAAUCCUGCUGGAAAUCCAGAGAAGAUGUUUCCUGAUGCAUCAGGGGGACAGCUGAGGACGGGACACAGCAUAAAGAGACAGAGAUCAUGUGAAGUAGGUUGGAUCUCCUGAGCCUGGAAUCCUCCACCUUCAACACCACCAGUCAGGUGGAGGAAGAUAAGAGAACCCAGUUGGUCAAAAAAAUUGACCAACAAUUAAAGCAGAAGACCUGCUCCACCUGCUG
Long non-coding RNA from Xiphophorus couchianus (Monterrey platyfish), 2004 nucleotides. RefSeq lists it as uncharacterized. NCBI's taxonomy places the organism in Eukaryota, Metazoa, Chordata, Actinopteri, Cyprinodontiformes, Poeciliidae. The record is from RefSeq and is a predicted model, not a curated record. The transcript has 5 exons.